RNAcentral lists this transfer RNA (70 nucleotides) under Loxodonta africana (African savanna elephant). It matches the Rfam family "tRNA". From Rfam's summary of the family: Transfer RNA (tRNA) molecules are approximately 80 nucleotides in length. The record is from Rfam by way of RNAcentral. Lineage: Eukaryota; Metazoa; Chordata; Mammalia; Proboscidea; Elephantidae.
GCAGUGGUGGUUCAGUGAUAGAAUAUUUGCUUUCCAUGUGGGUGAUCCUGGUUCGAUUCGAGCCAAUGCA